Molecule: transfer RNA, 84 nt
Filed under: bacterium
Lineage: Bacteria
Description: tRNA-Leu
Rfam family: tRNA
About the family: Transfer RNA (tRNA) molecules are approximately 80 nucleotides in length.
Source: RNAcentral
GCGGGUGUGGCGGAAUGGUAGACGCGCAUGGCUUAGGACCAUGUAGAGAAAUCUGUGAAGGUUCAAGUCCUUUCACCCGCACCA